UCCCAGGCUGGCCGCUCCGGGUGCCUCUGUGGUCCCAGAACUCCCACCAGGCCCCACCUGGCACUGUUGCCCUGGCUGAGGACCUCUCUCUUUCCUGGUCCCUUAGGAUUCCUGUAUCUUCCGUCUGCUUCCAGGCCAGGGAAACAGAGUGGGGACGUUAAAGAGGUCCCAGAACGGGACUUGAAAUAAUGUGUUUCAGCUUGACUGCAGGAGGGCUGGAGGCUAAGGCAGCACCGGGCAGGGCUGGGUCCCCAUCGCCCCUGCUCUGGACAGCAGCAGAGCGAACUGGCUCCGCUGAGUUCUGGGAGUCCUUGUCGUGAACCGCUGGGCCCGAGGGGAGCGCCUGGGGCCUCCCAGGACUUCAGAGCGGGCACGGCCUUGUCUGUCAGACACGCACCUCAGCUUGAUCGGCUCCGUGUUCCAGGACCCACUGCACACCCACUGCCGUCUACCUGGCACCAGGAUCCUGGAGAGGACCUCAGGCUGACUCAGCGUGUCCACCUUGACAUGCCGGAACGCCUUGCACACGGGGCUCUGCAGGGCGCUCCGGGAAGGGGCGCGGAGGCUGAGGGAUGGCCUGGGCCCGCGGCCCGCUUACCGCCUCCACUCCUCCUCCGUCUCCCAGAACUCGUAGACCACGAAGGUGAAGCCGUCAGCCAGCCUCACGGCCGCGACGCUGAAAGAGAAGCACCAGUUAGGGGCUGUCCGACCGUCCCGCUCAAGGCAGGGCCCCGCCCGGAGACUGGCAGGAGUGGGGAGGGCCCCCAGCAGCUGCUCUCCUGACUGUUCGGUUCAGGGGGCCCCUCCGCCCCCACCACAGGGCCCCGCCUUUCAGAGGCCGAGGAUACUCACCAAAUGAAUGACAAAGCGAUGAUGCUUUAAAAGGGGUUUUAUUCAUUUAAAAAUCUU
This is a long non-coding RNA of Mustela erminea (ermine), 909 nucleotides long. RefSeq lists it as uncharacterized. NCBI's taxonomy places the organism in Eukaryota, Metazoa, Chordata, Mammalia, Carnivora, Mustelidae. The record is from RefSeq and is a predicted model, not a curated record. The transcript is spliced from 5 exons.